Molecule: ribosomal RNA, 405 nt
Filed under: uncultured bacterium
Lineage: Bacteria
Description: bacterial SSU rRNA
Rfam family: Bacterial small subunit ribosomal RNA
Source: RNAcentral
GGGGAAUAUUGCACAAUGGGCGAAAGCCUGAUGCAGCGACGCCGCGUGAGGGAUGACGGCCUUCGGGUUGUAAACCUCUUUCAGCAGGGAAGAAGCGAAAGUGACGGUACCUGCAGAAGAAGCACCGGCUAACUACGUGCCAGCAGCCGCGGUAAUACGUAGGGUGCGAGCGUUGUCCGGAUUUAUUGGGCGUAAAGAGCUUGUAGGCGGUUUGUCGCGUCUGCUGUGAAAAUCCGGGGCUCAACCCCGGACUUGCAGUGGGUACGGGCAGACUAGAGUGUGGUAGGGGAGACUGGAAUUCCUGGUGUAGCGGUGAAAUGCGCAGAUAUCAGGAGGAACACCGAUGGCGAAGGCAGGUCUCUGGGCCACUACUGACGCUGAGAAGCGAAAGCAUGGGGAGCGAAC